GCUCCUUAGAAAGGAAAUGAUGCGCAAUACUCCAGUCAUGGGCUGUUGGAAACCAAUUCUUCCAGGUGAAGCGUGAAGCCUUUGAACUGAUCUUCAUUCUUGAGUCUGAUUUGGCUGCUCUGACAUGUAGAGGAGAGCCCCUGGCAGGCCUAGGGGACUGUUCUGCUAGUUUGAAUUUGCCCCCAAGUCAUGAAGGACCUGAAGGACUGGCUGAUGAAGCUUGACAAGCAUUCCAUCUUGAUGGUCUGGACAUUUAUACAUCCCUGGUAGAGUGGAGAGAAUCCUAAAUUUGGAGUAAGAGUACUUGAAUUUGGAACCAAGAAGGUAAAAUAAAAGGAACAUUCUAGCCA
Molecule: long non-coding RNA, 350 nt
Filed under: Monodelphis domestica (gray short-tailed opossum)
Lineage: Eukaryota; Metazoa; Chordata; Mammalia; Didelphimorphia; Didelphidae
Description: lncRNA (ENSMODG00000034900.2)
Source: RNAcentral